This 301-nucleotide ribosomal RNA is filed under the name uncultured bacterium. Its description in RNAcentral is "partial 16S ribosomal RNA". It matches the Rfam family "Bacterial small subunit ribosomal RNA", at positions 509 to 807 of the family's 1533-position model. The record is from RNAcentral.
CAGCCGCCGCGGUAAUACGUAGGUGGCAAGCGUUGUCCGGAAUUAUUGGGCGUAAAGGGCUCGCAGGCGGUUUCUUAAGUCUGAUGUGAAAGCCCCCGGCUCAACCGGGGAGGGUCAUUGGAAACUGGGAAACUUGAGUGUAGAAGAGGAGAGUGGAAUUCCACGUGUAGCGGUGAAAUGCGUAGAGAUGUGGAGGAACACCAGUGGCGAAGGCGACUCUCUGGUCUGUAACUGACGCUGAGGAGCGAAAGCGUGGGGAGCGAACAGGAUUAGAUACCCCUGUAGUCCCUGUCUCUUAUAC